GAUGAACGCUGGCGGCGUGCUUAACACAUGCAAGUCGAACGGAAAGGCCCAAGCUUGCUUGGGUACUCGAGUGGCGAACGGGUGAGUAACACGUGGGUGAUCUGCCCUGCACUUUGGGAUAAGCCUGGGAAACUGGGUCUAAUACUGGAUAGGACCACUUCUUGGAUGUUGUGGUGGAAAGUUUUUUCGGUGUGGGAUGAGCUCGCGGCCUAUCAGCUUGUUGGUGGGGUAAUGGCCUACCAAGGCGUCGACGGGUAGCCGGCCUGGGAGGGUGUACGGCCACAAUGGGACUGGGAUACGGCCCAGACUCCUACGGGGGGCAGCAGUGGGGGAUAUUGCACAAUGGGCGCAAGCCUGAUGCAGCGACGCCGCGUGGGGGGUGACGGCCUUCGGGUUGGAAACUCCUUUCGCUAGGGACGAAGCGGUUUGUGACGGUACCUGGAGAAGAAGCACCGGCUAACUACGUG
Molecule: ribosomal RNA, 467 nt
Filed under: uncultured bacterium
Lineage: Bacteria
Description: partial 16S ribosomal RNA
Rfam family: Bacterial small subunit ribosomal RNA
Source: RNAcentral